UCACUUUCAACAACGGAUCUCUUGGUUCUCGCAUCGAUGAAGAACGUAGCGAAGUGCGAUAUGUAAUGUGAAUUGCAGAAUUCCGUGAAUCAUCGAAUUUUUGAACGCAAAUUGCACUCUCUUCGGAGAGUAUGCCUGUUUGAGGGUCAGCCUAAA
This 156-nucleotide ribosomal RNA is filed under the name uncultured Glomus. RNAcentral describes it as "5.8S ribosomal RNA". It matches the Rfam family "5.8S ribosomal RNA". From Rfam's summary of the family: 5.8S ribosomal RNA (5.8S rRNA) is a component of the large subunit of the eukaryotic ribosome. It is transcribed by RNA polymerase I as part of the 45S precursor that also contains 18S and 28S rRNA. Lineage: Eukaryota; Fungi; Glomeromycota; Glomeromycetes; Glomerales; Glomeraceae. The record is from RNAcentral.